RNAcentral lists this unclassified non-coding RNA (254 nucleotides) under uncultured Candidatus Altimarinota bacterium. RNAcentral's name for it is "uncultured Candidatus Gracilibacteria bacterium contains 16S-23S intergenic spacer region". It matches the Rfam family "Bacterial small subunit ribosomal RNA", at positions 524 to 776 of the family's 1533-position model. Lineage: Bacteria; Candidatus Altimarinota. The record is from RNAcentral.
GACGGAGGGUGCAAGCGUUAUCCGGAAUCACUGGGCGUAAAGCGUGUGUAGGCGGUUUGGAAAGUCGGGGGUUAAAAUUCCAUGCUCAACAUGGAAGCUGUUCUCGAUACUGCCAAGCUAAGAAGAGUGCAGAGGCAAGCGGAAUUCUGAGUGUAGGGGUAAAAUCCGUAGAUACUCGGAGGAACGCCAAAAGCGAAAGCAGCUUGCUGGGCAUUUCUUGACGCUGAGACACGAAAGCGUGGGGAGCAAACAGG